RNAcentral lists this ribosomal RNA (581 nucleotides) under Vibrio splendidus. RNAcentral describes it as "bacterial SSU rRNA". It matches the Rfam family "Bacterial small subunit ribosomal RNA", at positions 46 to 604 of the family's 1533-position model. Lineage: Bacteria; Pseudomonadati; Pseudomonadota; Gammaproteobacteria; Vibrionales; Vibrionaceae. The record is from RNAcentral.
GCCCUAACACAUGCAAGUCGAGCGGAAACGACACUAACAAUCCUUCGGGUGCGUUAAUGGGCGUCGAGCGGCGGACGGGUGAGUAAUGCCUAGGAAAUUGCCUUGAUGUGGGGGAUAACCAUUGGAAACGAUGGCUAAUACCGCAUGAUGCCUACGGGCCAAAGAGGGGGACCUUCGGGCCUCUCGCGUCAAGAUAUGCCUAGGUGGGAUUAGCUAGUUGGUGAGGUAAUGGCUCACCAAGGCGACGAUCCCUAGCUGGUCUGAGAGGAUGAUCAGCCACACUGGAACUGAGACACGGUCCAGACUCCUACGGGAGGCAGCAGUGGGGAAUAUUGCACAAUGGGCGAAAGCCUGAUGCAGCCAUGCCGCGUGUAUGAAGAAAGCCUUCGGGUUGUAAAGUACUUUCAGUUGUGAGGAAGGGUGUGUAGUUAAUAGCUGCGCAUCUUGACGUUAGCAACAGAAGAAGCACCCGGCUAACUCCGUGCCAGCAGCCGCGGUAAUACGGAGGGUGCGAGCGUUAAUCGGAAUUACUGGGCGUAAAGCGCAUGCAGGUGGUUCAUUAAGUCAGAUGUGAAAGCCCG